Long non-coding RNA from Phyllopteryx taeniolatus (common seadragon), 730 nucleotides. RefSeq lists it as uncharacterized. Lineage: Eukaryota; Metazoa; Chordata; Actinopteri; Syngnathiformes; Syngnathidae. The transcript has 5 exons. The record is from RefSeq and is a predicted model, not a curated record.
UAUAGCGCUUCUCAAGACACUCAAAGACGCUUUCCACGAAUCAGAUGACAAUAACAGUCAGGUCAGUGAGCAGGAAGUCCGGCUGGCGGGUGCUGGUGUCAGCGACGCUGUCCACUGCGGUGAAAUGCAGAAAAGUCACGCCGGCUGACGAGAGCCUAACUGGACGUAUGGGGACACGGAAGGAUGUUCGGUAGCUGAGCUCGCUGCACGCAUGUUCACGACUCACAACCGAAGCCGGGUGUUCAAGAGCUUGCUCAGAGAGAGAGAGAUAGCCUCCAGCCUCUCGUCGCCCUCCACUGUGAUAGCAGCCACUGGCUUCUUUUCACACUCCAGCAUUGCAUCCUCUGGUUUGACUCUGGGUUAACUAUGUGCUGGAUGAGAAGAGGCCAAACAAUGAAAUCAUCAUGAAGGUUCAGCACACCUGCCUCACCCGAGAGAACCUAAUAACCCUCAGGUGGGGAAUGCUUGCUUGAGGCUCAGCGAGGAGAAUGUUCAGCAUCAGGACUGUUGCCCAGCAAAUCAAACCCGGAACAUGGUCAGAGUUGUCAAGCCUGGAUAUUGAGGACUUCGUUUUCCCUUGCCCGGACGCGGGUCACCGGGGACCCCCACUGGAGCCAGGCCUGGUGGUGGGGCUCGAAGGCGAGCGUCUGGUGGUCGGGCCUGCACCCAUGGGGCCCGGCCGGGCACAGCCCGAAAGGGUAACGUGGGUCCCCCUUCCCAUGGGAAGGGC